Molecule: ribosomal RNA, 2923 nt
Filed under: Klebsiella pneumoniae
Lineage: Bacteria; Pseudomonadati; Pseudomonadota; Gammaproteobacteria; Enterobacterales; Enterobacteriaceae
Description: 23S ribosomal RNA
Rfam family: Bacterial large subunit ribosomal RNA
Source: RNAcentral
GGGUUGUGAGGUUAAGCGACUAAGCGUACACGGUGGAUGCCCUGGCAGUCAGAGGCGAUGAAGGACGUGCUAAUCUGCGAAAAGCGUCGGUAAGGUGAUAUGAACCGUUAUAACCGGCGAUGUCCGAAUGGGGAAACCCAGUGUGAUUCGUCACACUAUCGUUAACUGAAUACAUAGGUUAACGAGGCGAACCGGGGGAACUGAAACAUCUAAGUACCCCGAGGAAAAGAAAUCAACCGAGAUUCCCCCAGUAGCGGCGAGCGAACGGGGAGCAGCCCAGAGUCUGAAUCAGCUUGUGUGUUAGUGGAACGGUCUGGAAAGUCCGACGGUACAGGGUGAUAGUCCCGUACACCAAAAUGCACAGGCUGUGAACUCGAAGAGUAGGGCGGGACACGUGGUAUCCUGUCUGAAUAUGGGGGGACCAUCCUCCAAGGCUAAAUACUCCUGACUGACCGAUAGUGAACCAGUACCGUGAGGGAAAGGCGAAAAGAACCCCGGCGAGGGGAGUGAAAAAGAACCUGAAACCGUGUACGUACAAGCAGUGGGAGCACCUUCGGGUGUGACUGCGUACCUUUUGUAUAAUGGGUCAGCGACUUAUAUUCUGUAGCAAGGUUAACCGUAUAGGGGAGCCGCAGGGAAACCGAGUCUUAACUGGGCGUUAAGUUGCAGGGUAUAGACCCGAAACCCGGUGAUCUAGCCAUGGGCAGGUUGAAGGUUGGGUAACACUAACUGGAGGACCGAACCGACUAAUGUUGAAAAAUUAGCGGAUGACUUGUGGCUGGGGGUGAAAGGCCAAUCAAACCGGGAGAUAGCUGGUUCUCCCCGAAAGCUAUUUAGGUAGCGCCUCGUGAACUCAUCUUCGGGGGUAGAGCACUGUUUCGGCUAGGGGGUCAUCCCGACUUACCAACCCGAUGCAAACUACGAAUACCGAAGAAUGUUAUCACGGGAGACACACGGCGGGUGCUAACGUCCGUCGUGAAGAGGGAAACAACCCAGACCGCCAGCUAAGGUCCCAAAGUCAUGGUUAAGUGGGAAACGAUGUGGGAAGGCACAGACAGCCAGGAUGUUGGCUUAGAAGCAGCCAUCAUUUAAAGAAAGCGUAAUAGCUCACUGGUCGAGUCGGCCUGCGCGGAAGAUGUAACGGGGCUAAACCAUGCACCGAAGCUGCGGCAGCGACACUAUGUGUUGUUGGGUAGGGGAGCGUUCUGUAAGCCUGCGAAGGUGACCUGUGAGGGUUGCUGGAGGUAUCAGAAGUGCGAAUGCUGACAUAAGUAACGAUAAAGCGGGUGAAAAGCCCGCUCGCCGGAAGACCAAGGGUUCCUGUCCAACGUUAAUCGGGGCAGGGUGAGUCGACCCCUAAGGCGAGGCCGAAAGGCGUAGUCGAUGGGAAACAGGUUAAUAUUCCUGUACUUGGUGUUACUGCGAAGGGGGGACGGAGAAGGCUAUGUUAGCCGGGCGACGGUUGUCCCGGUUUAAGCAUGUAGGCUGAUUGUCCAGGCAAAUCCGGAUAAUCAAGGCUGAGGUGUGAUGACGAGGCACUACGGUGCUGAAGUAACAAAUGCCCUGCUUCCAGGAAAAGCCUCUAAGCAUCAGGUAACAUCAAAUCGUACCCAAAACCGACACAGGUGGUCAGGUAGAGAAUACCAAGGCGCUUGAGAGAACUCGGGUGAAGGAACUAGGCAAAAUGGUGCCGUAACUUCGGGAGAAGGCACGCUGGUGUGUAGGUGAAGCCCCUGCGGGUGGAGCUGAGACCAGUCGAAGAUACCAGCUGGCUGCAACUGUUUAUUAAAAACACAGCACUGUGCAAACACGAAAGUGGACGUAUACGGUGUGACGCCUGCCCGGUGCCGGAAGGUUAAUUGAUGGGGUUAUCCGUAAGGAGAAGCUCUUGAUCGAAGCCCCGGUAAACGGCGGCCGUAACUAUAACGGUCCUAAGGUAGCGAAAUUCCUUGUCGGGUAAGUUCCGACCUGCACGAAUGGCGUAAUGAUGGCCAGGCUGUCUCCACCCGAGACUCAGUGAAAUUGAACUCGCUGUGAAGAUGCAGUGUACCCGCGGCAAGACGGAAAGACCCCGUGAACCUUUACUAUAGCUUGACACUGAACAUUGAGCCUUGAUGUGUAGGAUAGGUGGGAGGCUUUGAAGCGUGGACGCCAGUCUGCGUGGAGCCAACCUUGAAAUACCACCCUUUAAUGUUUGAUGUUCUAACGUUGGCCCCUUACCGGGGUUGCGGACAGUGUCUGGUGGGUAGUUUGACUGGGGCGGUCUCCUCCCAAAGCGUAACGGAGGAGCACGAAGGUUAGCUAAUCCUGGUCGGACAUCAGGAGGUUAGUGCAAUGGCAUAAGCUAGCUUGACUGCGAGCGUGACGGCGCGAGCAGGUGCGAAAGCAGGUCAUAGUGAUCCGGUGGUUCUGAAUGGAAGGGCCAUCGCUCAACGGAUAAAAGGUACUCCGGGGAUAACAGGCUGAUACCGCCCAAGAGUUCAUAUCGACGGCGGUGUUUGGCACCUCGAUGUCGGCUCAUCACAUCCUGGGGCUGAAGUAGGUCCCAAGGGUAUGGCUGUUCGCCAUUUAAAGUGGUACGCGAGCUGGGUUUAGAACGUCGUGAGACAGUUCGGUCCCUAUCUGCCGUGGGCGCUGGAGAAUUGAGGGGGGCUGCUCCUAGUACGAGAGGACCGGAGUGGACGCAUCACUGGUGUUCGGGUUGUCAUGCCAAUGGCACUGCCCGGUAGCUAAAUGCGGAAGAGAUAAGUGCUGAAAGCAUCUAAGCACGAAACUUGCCCCGAGAUGAGUUCUCCCUGAGACUUUAAGUCUCCUGAAGGAACGUUGAAGACGACGACGUUGAUAGGCCGGGUGUGUAAGCGCAGCGAUGCGUUGAGCUAACCGGUACUAAUGAACCGUGAGGCUUAACCUUACAACGCCGAAG